AUUGAACGCUGGCGGCAGGCCUAACACAUGCAAGUCGAGCGGAGCGGCGGACGGGUGAGUAAUGCCUAGGAAUCUGCAUGGUAGUGGGGGAUAACGUACGGAAACGGGCGCUAAUACCGCAUACUAUCAGAUGACCCUAGGUCGGAUUAGCUAGAUGGUGGGGUAAAGGCUUACCAAGGCGACGAUGCGUCACUGGUCGGAGAGGAUGAUCAGUCACACUGGAACUGAGACACGGGCCAGACUCCUACGGGAGGCAGCAGUGGGGAAUAUUGGACAAUGGGCGAAAGCCUGAUCCAGCCAUGCCGCGUGGGUGAAGAAGGUCUUCGGAUUGUAAAGCACUUUAAGUUGGGAGGCGUUACCAACAGAAUAAGCACCGGCUAACUACGUGCCAGCAGCCGCGGUAAUUC
Molecule: ribosomal RNA, 407 nt
Filed under: uncultured bacterium
Lineage: Bacteria
Description: partial 16S ribosomal RNA
Rfam family: Bacterial small subunit ribosomal RNA
Source: RNAcentral